GGCUGGUCCGAUGGUAGUGGGUUAUCAGAACUUAUUAACAUUAGUGUCACUAAAGUUGGUAUACAACCCCCACUGCUAAAUUUGACAGGCUUUUA
Molecule: Y RNA, 95 nt
Filed under: Sapajus apella (tufted capuchin)
Lineage: Eukaryota; Metazoa; Chordata; Mammalia; Primates; Cebidae
Also listed under: 1 other name
Description: Cebus apella (Tufted capuchin) Y RNA
Rfam family: Y RNA
About the family: Y RNAs are components of the Ro ribonucleoprotein particle (Ro RNP), in association with Ro60 and La proteins. The Y RNAs and Ro60 and La proteins are well conserved, but the function of the Ro RNP is not known. In humans the RNA component can be one of four small RNAs -- hY1, hY3, hY4 and hY5.
Source: Rfam by way of RNAcentral